This is a non-coding RNA of Zonotrichia albicollis (white-throated sparrow), 439 nucleotides long. Lineage: Eukaryota; Metazoa; Chordata; Aves; Passeriformes; Passerellidae. The record is from RefSeq and is a predicted model, not a curated record.
GGACCAGGUGUGUCCAGGUGAGCUCCAGGUGAGCUCCAGGGUUUGGUGUGACCAUGGCAAUGCAGAACAGAGCGACCCGGAAGUUCUCGGGGGGAUGGAGGAUGAGGGUCAGCCUGGCCAGGUGAGACCAGGUGGGAUCAGGUGGGACCAGGUGGGCUCAGGUGGGUUUAGAUGGGCUCCAGGUGAGCUCCAGGGUUUGGUGUGACCAUGGCAAUGCAGAACAGAGCGACCCGGAAGUUCUCAGGGGGAUGGAGGAUGAGGGUCAGCCUGGCCAGGUGAGACCAGGGGGCACCAGGUGGGUUCAGGUGGGCUCCAGGUGUGGGACCAGGUUGGGUUUCACCAUUUGAAUGCAGACCUGGAAGUUCUCAGGGGGAUGGAGGAUGAGGGUCAGCCUGGCCAGGUGAGACCAGGUGGCACCAGGUGGCACCAGGUGGGACCA